UACGGGGGGAGCAAGCGUUGUUCGGAUUUACUGGGCGUAAAGGGCGCGUAGGCGGCCAGCGCAAGUCAGUUGUGAAAUCUCCGAGCUUAACUCGGAAAGGUCAACUGAUACUGCGCGGCUAGAGUGCAGAAGGGGCAACUGGAAUUCUCGGUGUAGCGGUGAAAUGCGUAGAUAUCUGCAGGAACACCCGUGGCGAAAGCGGCGCGCUGGACCACUACUGACGCUGAGGAACGAAAGCUAGGGGAGCAAACAGG
RNAcentral lists this ribosomal RNA (254 nucleotides) under uncultured bacterium. Its description in RNAcentral is "partial 16S ribosomal RNA". It matches the Rfam family "Bacterial small subunit ribosomal RNA", at positions 524 to 776 of the family's 1533-position model. The record is from RNAcentral.